CCCCUAGAGCUGAAAGAGGAAGCAACUGCAAUGCUGAGGGAGGGGUCCCUGAGAGAUCGCCUGUGUCCCAGGCCCCAAGUCUGGGGAGGCAGGCUCCAUUAGAGCCUUAAAAAAUUCAGUGGAUCGAUCUCUUGCCUGCUUCUUGUGCCCUGGGGAGCCACAGGCGCUGGCCUGGCCCAGGUGUCUGCCCACCCCAGGGGUAGCAAGGAUUAGUGAGGUUAGGGAGGGGGCGGUUAGAGCAGAGGUGGGGACAUCCAGGUUUUGGCAGCAGAGGAUGUGGCCAGGCACGCCAGGACCCACCAGGUGUGUUUGCACGUAUGUGCCGGUCCUCCUUGGCGCAGCUGGCAGGCCCGACCCCAGCUUGAGCCUUGCCCUGUGGGGCUAGACGGGCACCAGGGGCCGGAGGGGAUGGGCCAGGGCCUGGGCCUCAGAGGGUUCCGAGGGACACCCCGAGGAUGGGUCUACCUUUGCCUGUGGCUCCGGGGACCUGGGGCCCCGGCCAGCUCGCUGGUGGUGGUGGCGGCCGCGGGCACGCUGCGGUAGAAGCUGGAGCAUUCACUGUGGGGAGAAAGGGAGAGAGGCCGGGCUACAGGAAUUUUAAAGAUUGCUGCAGGCAGGAGGGUCUCUGGAACCUUGUGGAGCGGGCAGUCAUGCAGAAGUAAUCCUAUCGCUGCCUGCCUGGAGGAGAGGAGAGGAGAGGGGGCUGGGAGGGGAAGGAUGGCGCAGCCGCCCCUUUCCCACCUCAGCCCCUGCCCCAGCCAGCUGUGGAGGGAGCCCGGGACCCCAGGGGGCUCCCCCGGGGAGGCACCACCCUUCCACCGCUGCCUGUGCCCCCUGGAGGGGCGGCACCGCAGCUGUUGCUCGGCUAGGAGCUCUGGGUUUUAUAAAUAAUGCAGCUUGGAGGUGGGGGCCCACUCAGCCUUGGGUCACCCACUGUGGCAUCAUCUCCAGCUGGCAGUCCUGUGGCAGAGCCCCUCUGCCUUCCAGCCUGCUCCUCCUCUUUUGCUAUGUGAGUUUGGGCCAGAGGCCCAGCCUGUGUGAGCUGGGCCAGGGCAAAGGAGUGUGGAAGAACCCAGAACCCCCUGUCCUUUUGUACCCCGCCCCCACCAGCCUUCACAGGUUAACUGGCCACUGGCUCAGCAAAUCCAGGCUGGGAAGGGAUGACCCGCUGUACAGGGGCCUCCCCAGUUCCAGCCCCUCCAUUUUGCAGAUGGAGUAACCAAGUCCAGAGAGGGCAGGGAUGGCCAAGGCCAGCCAGCUGAUGAGCAGCUCCUUCCUGUCCCAUUCUGCUGUCAGUCAAGGCUCUUCUCAGCCUCAGCUCAGCUAAGAGCAGGGCCUGGAGGGCGGGGGGGAUGUUUGGGAAAGUGGUUGCGGCUGAGACGUUGCCAUGGCGAUGCUGCAGGAUGCUGAGCUGAAGUGGGGGUCUUACAGGGUCUCUGGGGCCCCCAGCUCCACACCCCUGUGGUCUUCUCCUCCCCAUCUCCUGUCCCUCACCCAGAGGCCUGUCAGGCAGCUCCGGUGACAGGCUGGGUGGGUGACAGGUGGUGCAGGUGAUGGGCUGGGUGGGUGACGAGCUGGGUGGGUGACAGGUGGUGCGGGUGCGAGGCAGGCAGGUGACAAGCUGGGUGGUGACGGGCCCUGCUGAUGACAGGCAGGGGGUGUGGUUGGCGGGGAUGCUGUCUCCUGGCUGGUGGCCUGUCGCAGCCCCCCACCCUCACGCGUGUGCACAUGCACAGACUCUGGGCUCAGAGCUUGGGGCUAAGAUACUAAUGAGGCUUAUUACGUGUGGGGGGGCAGGUGCCCAGGCUCACUAAUGAGAGGCCUUUAACGAAGAGGGGAGACAGCUGGGGGGCUUUGAGGAAUUUGGCUGGCCCUCCUGGUCUGGAGGAUGAGCCAGGUCGGGGCCCCACCUACCCUUCCCCCCGGCCACUUGGCUUUGUGUUAAUACUACCCACAGUCAUGAUAGUUACCAUUGUCCAAGCGUUUGCUACACUGGCCGAGCCCUUUACAUGCGUUUUCUUAUUUCAACUCAGCAGUCGUAGGAGGGAGGCACUAUUGCCCAUUUUAUGGAUGAGGAAUCUGAGGCUGAGAAGGCAAGGGACUUCACGUAACAAGUUUCUGUUGCAGCUGACAUUUUAA
Long non-coding RNA from Orcinus orca (killer whale), 2139 nucleotides. RefSeq lists it as uncharacterized. The transcript is spliced from 2 exons. The record is from RefSeq and is a predicted model, not a curated record. Lineage: Eukaryota; Metazoa; Chordata; Mammalia; Artiodactyla; Delphinidae.